GAUGAAGAACGUAGCGAAAUGCGAUAAGUAAUGUGAAUUGCAGAAUUCAGUGAAUCAUCGAAUCUUUGAACGCACAUUGCGCCCGCCAGUAUUCUGGCGGGCAUGCCUGUUCGAGCGUCAUUACAACCCUCAAGCCCCCGGGCUUGGUGUUGGGGAUCGGCGAGCCUCCGCGCCCGCCGUCCCCUAAAUCUAGUGGCGGUCUCGCUGUAGCUUCCUCUGCGUAGUAGCACACCUCGCACUGGGAAACAGCGCGGCCACGCCGUUAAACCCCCAACUUCUGAACGUUUGACCUCGGAUCAGGUAGGAAUACCCGCUGAACUUAAGCAUAUCAAUAAGCGGAGGA
RNAcentral lists this unclassified non-coding RNA (343 nucleotides) under soil metagenome. RNAcentral's name for it is "partial contains 5.8S ribosomal RNA, internal transcribed spacer 2, and large subunit ribosomal RNA". The stretch from base 1 to 120 matches the Rfam family "5.8S ribosomal RNA", at positions 35 to 154 of the family's 154-position model. The record is from RNAcentral.